This 76-nucleotide small nucleolar RNA is filed under the name Trialeurodes vaporariorum (greenhouse whitefly). Its description in RNAcentral is "small nucleolar RNA SNORD34". It matches the Rfam family "Small nucleolar RNA SNORD34". From Rfam's summary of the family: snoRNA U34 is found in intron 5 of the ribosomal protein L13a gene in humans. Lineage: Eukaryota; Metazoa; Arthropoda; Insecta; Hemiptera; Aleyrodidae. The record is from RNAcentral.
GUUGUUGAUGAUGAAUUUCAAUUCCUUACCUACAUUGUUUGAUUUUAAUGAAAACAAACUAUUUUCUGAAGCAAAC